CCCGCGCGCCCCGGCCGGGCCCCGCCCGCCCCGCCGAGCAGCCGGGAGGCGGCUCCCCGCGCCCUGGGCCUCUCGGCGUCCGCCGCGCCUCCCCGGCGGGGGCCUGGGGCAGGGGCCGCCGUCUCCCGCUAGAGGGACCCGGGCUGCCUCCGCGGCCGUGUCGCCCCAGCGGACGGCCCGCGCCUCCGGAUCCGGGGCGGCGUCCUGGUCACUUGGGUCUGGCGCGUAGCGGGGCCUAGCGAGAGGCUGCCCAGCGCAGGGAGGCAGACGCGCGCGGGCCCGGCGCGUGGCGGGUGCGCCGCAGAUGUCCGCGGGCCUUGGGGACCUGCUGGCGGGCCUGGGGGCGGGGGGCACGCUGACGGGCCGCCGCAGGGAGGGCAGCGCGGAGGGCGGCCAGCCGGGCGCCGCGGGGGCUAGAACUGGGAGCUGGCUGCGUGGCGGGGGAGCCCGGGCUGCGCGAGGUGAGGCCCGGGAGAAGCGGGCGGAAGGCCGGGCGGGUGGCCGGCGGGACCUUCUCUGAGCCCAGCGCACCUGGCAACGGGCCGCAUUAAGGUGGCGGCUAGGUCAGGGUGUGGGGGCGCAGACGCGAGCCCCCGGUGCCUCCGACCGCGGCCCCCCGCUGCUGACCACGGAGAAGUUCCUUCCGAAGAACCAGGAAAGAGAUGCCGGUUUGCAAGAGCGGCCGAACGAACUUUGAGCCGGGGGCCCGCUGCGCGCCAGGCACCGAGCUGAGCACUUGGAUAAGGAGACGUGGCGGCGAACGAUGAAAGCAGUAGAGAAAGAGUGGUCUUUCCAGACGUUUGGCGGGGAGCCGGAGAGGCCCGUAGCUCAAGGAGGAGUAAGAGUAAAGGAGACAGCCUGAGAUAACAGAUUGAAGUUCAGACAAGGCCAGACUAUCCUGUUAACCAGAGACAACUUUUCAUUUGAAUGAGCAGAAUCACAGACUACAAUGAACGGAGGGAAAAAAAAUGUGUCUUGAUUGUGAAAGUACAUAGAAGCCGUCUUACCCACCACUGUCGGAUUAUGAUAGAGACAAUAAGUACCACCCCUUUCUUCUACAUCCAGAACCAGUGAGAAGAUGAAAAUAACUCCAUCACCAAUGGAGCUGAACUGAAGAAUGUGGCUUUCCUGAUGACCUAUAGGCUCUUUAAUAUUCCCUGAAUUAAAAUUAUCUCCUCCAAAAGUCCAACCUUCACCUCGAGGGGGCCUAGCCACUUUAACUGUGUCUGAUUAGAGAAGAUGGCACUCUCUGAGGGCAGACGGAUCCAAAUUCACCAACUAGAUCUCCUGUGCUACUUCCCACUGGCUGAACCCAAGAGGAAGCCUAAGGGCAAGCGAGCCCAGAUGACAUUGUUUAUCAAGGCCAGCCUCUGAAAAAUGAUGAAGGGUAGAUCUGGAAGGACGAAGGCAGAAUAUCUAGCAGACCACACACACCAGAGCUCUUGAGUUUAUUAAGCCGUGUCCAUCUGUCACCUGGACAAAGAUCAUGAUACCUUUCUGUCCCAGCACCUUCCAACCAGUUCUCCACUCUGCGGUAAGAAUCUUCCUGAAAUGAAUCACAUCCUUAUCCUGCUUAAAACCUUCCAAAGCUACCGAUGGCUUACUAUGUGGAAUACUGUCUUUUUUUUUUUAAUUUUUUUUUCAUUUAUUUCUGAGAGAGAGAGAGC
Molecule: long non-coding RNA, 1667 nt
Organism: Hyaena hyaena (striped hyena)
Lineage: Eukaryota; Metazoa; Chordata; Mammalia; Carnivora; Hyaenidae
Exons: 4
Source: RefSeq, a predicted model, not a curated record